This 145-nucleotide ribosomal RNA is filed under the name uncultured eukaryote. RNAcentral's name for it is "partial small subunit ribosomal RNA". It matches the Rfam family "Bacterial small subunit ribosomal RNA", at positions 1383 to 1525 of the family's 1533-position model. The record is from RNAcentral.
GUACACACCGCCCGUCACACCAUGGGAUUUGGAUUCACCCGAAGGCACUGCGUUAACCCGCAAGGGAGACAGGUGGCCACGGUGGGUUUAGAGACUGGGGUGAAGUCGUAACAAGGUAGCCGUAGGUGAACCUGCAGAAGGAUCA